Varroa destructor (honeybee mite) is the source of this 3738-nucleotide long non-coding RNA. Lineage: Eukaryota; Metazoa; Arthropoda; Arachnida; Mesostigmata; Varroidae. The record is from RefSeq and is a predicted model, not a curated record.
AAUCUCGUCAUUGUUGAUCACAGAAAUAUUCAAUGAGGAUUUAAAAAGAGGCAGUCGGUAGCUAAACUAUUGUCACUAGAGUUUCUGCCAACAAGCAGUGCCACCCACUUGAAACAUUGCGUGUGGCCUGCAUAAUCAAUGAUUCAGCUUGAAUGUUGGUGCUAAUCAUCGUGGUGAAAAGACUCUUCGAAAAAUCUGCGAUUCCGCAUCGUUACAUGUUAUCAUAUAUUAACAUUUAAAAUAAACCGACACCGUCGCAAGACUAUAUGCUGAUAUUGAAUCGGAAACCAUCAAUCGUACGAAAUGUCGACAUCAUGGACAAUAGUACGUUGGUGACAUCAAGCGGAAUUACAUGAAGUUUGUCAUCAGUCACUAUCAAACGCAGCCGCUGUGCGCCAUCGGAAUCCGGCUGAAGACAACCUGCAAAUACCUGAAACGAAUCAAUAGCAACAAAACGUUGUGCCAGUACUUGUACAAGGGGCUAAUACCGAUCUGAGGCUAUACUGUUCUGGAUCGAUCGAAAAAGCAAACGCUUAGGGAAAACAAAAUUAAUCGCAAAUCUGUGGAAAAACACGGAAUUUUUCACGUAUUCAGUCAUAUAUUCUGCUUCUGCUACCGCUACUAUACGUGGACUUGUCAUCUACAUGAGUUGGUCAAUAAUUAAUUGGAAAUAACAAGCUUGUGUAAAUUGUUCGAUAAUUUUAUUUCUUUUAUUUAUUUCGCACAGUUUGCAUCAAUAUGUUAAGUUGUGGAAAUAGAAGCGACGCUUUUUCUAAGUAGACCGUUUUACAGUCUCAAGUAUCUCAGGUAAUACAAGUUGCGUCGAGUUGGCGUUGACGUCAAAGACUAAGAUAGUAGAUGGCGGUAGUAGAUGUUUUCAAAUUAUGAGAGUGCUUCUAGUCAAACUUAAGGUAGAUCGCCUUGAGGAUAGGUAAGAUGUUUGUCAUAUUCAACAGCUUUAUCACUGUAGUACUAGGCCCGUAAACAAUGAGGCCAGUCCUGCUGAAGAAAAUGCGCAAAAAAUAAUGCUCGUUAGCUGGUGGCCUAUCCCGGACCGAUAGAGAGGAAGGUGAUGCUAGAUGCUUGAUAAGAUUGCAAAAAAGUCGUGCGCGAAAAGCUGCUUUGCUGUGGUAUAUAACUCAAUAGCUAAAAAGAUUGCAACAAGCCAAAAAUCAAUCUAAACUAUUAUCUAGCUCACAAUAUCAUUAUCAAUUAUAAUAAUAAUGAGUUAUUAUAUAACUCAUUAUCUAGCACGACAAUAUCAAAUAACGCACAUCUUUAGGUGCCCGGAGAAAAUUGAGGGAAAUCGGAUUAAGACAUAUUAAUGGAUUCGCCCUAUAAAAAUGACAAAAGCCCAUCGGUCAAAUGUAGGCAUAUUUAGUUUUUUUCAUACUGUGUUAAAAUAUAGAAAAUAUUCGCUCCUGUUUUGGCUUGAAAUAAUACAUUUUUAACCAUUCACAACAAUAUGCACUAAACGUUUACGCUUGUACGACUAUGUUUCAUUGGCUGGGGAUUAAGUAUAAGGUUUGCAGCUUGUUCUUUGGGUCAUUUGUAGUAUAACUUUCUAAAUCUUACUCUACUUAAGAGAAUCCGUUAGAAGGUACCUAAACGAUCCGUAUUUUUCUAGCAGUGCGUUGUUACCUCCUUCGAAAGCUUCUUUUAAGUGAAGCUCACCUGAAAAUCUUCUCUUAUCGCAAGACGCAUAGCCAGCCGAUGUCCGAAACCUGUAUCACAUCCUGUUGAUGACGUAAUAUAACAAUAAUAGAUUAAGCAUAAUUUAUAUAUACGACAUUGUAGAAUUACAACCACUAUUACAAUGUACUGGCCAACAACUCGAAUAAAAUUUAUAUGGCAUUUUAUUAAGUUGCUAAAUGUAACAAGUCCUUCUUUUGAGUUGUUCGAAGAUGUCGAAGACCAGAUAACUUAGUUCGCCUAUGCUAUAAGUGUCAUUCCUGAUAAUUACGUUUCUUCAAUAUGACUAGCAUUCAAAGGUAUUACAGCUUCUAUCUGGGACCCAAAAUAUUAACCAGUAAUGCUCAAAGUAUUAUUUUUUCAGUCCGCGAAUAGCUUUUUAAUACUAAGUGCGCAUAAAUAUUAAACAUUCAUAAGCGUAGACUCGUUAAAACUUGGCUCAAAUAUACUACACACUUUGUAAAUUUUAGGGUGAUAGCGGGCCCAAAAUCCUAAAAUGUGGGACUCAGAAUUGCCAAGAACUUGAAAUGCUUGAGAAAAACUGGUUUUCCUUUAAAUUUCAAAUACGACGCAUUGUUUUCGCUAUGACGAGCUUAUUGUUUUGUCCUAAAAGGAAGUUGCCUUUUUGGUACCGAAAAUAGCGGAUGAAUGGAUGCCCGCUACGACGAACAGCUGGCCGAGUUUACUAGAACUUUAAUGUCUCACCCUGUACAUAUGAGGUUGAAAAAGCUUAAAACCGCUGUUUCAAUAUCAGCAACAUCUACUCGACAGCCGAUCUGAUUAGGUUAAUGAACAUAUGUAUAUAUUUCUUAUAGGCACACAUAUUAUUGGCUUUAAAAUGUAUUGGCAAAAGCUAAAGUCUGAUUCGUAACUAAACUUUGCUUCCCUGUUAGCUAUUCAAAAGCCAAAUUUUAGAUUAUUGUGUUUCGCAAGCACUCUAACGUGAACGAUUUGCGACCAUAUUUAGUUUUUUUUUUUUUUUAUAACGAAAAUGAAGCAUUAAAAACUAUAUAUUAUGUUCUAUGGUAGACAUGACAUCAAGUCCGCAAAAAUAGUAUCGAAGUUUUAUAAAAAAAAAAAAAAGAACCUUUAUUCUAGACGAUCGAUCAUAAUUAAGACGGAUCAAAUAAUAAAAAAAUAUACUUCAUGCUAAAGAGCCGCCUGAUCACGUAUAGAGAGCUCGCAAAAGAGUUCCUGCACGAGCCACGUUGAGAGAUCAUUUAGAAAUAAGCAGGCUUGCGAGAUACCACAUCCAAUGUUAAAAAACUGUCUUUGUUAAACAAGGUUAUCAUGAGCUUUCGCUAAGAAGGAGUAGCGGGGCGGAAACGUAUGGCGUGUACCCGACUCUUCGUAUGAAGUCAAAAAGACCCGCGAUAGAUGUAGCGUAUUUGGCAAACACUUCCUAACUGAGAGUACUGCUCUAGGGUAAUUUGCUAAGUUCAAAAAUAACAUAUUGGACCUAAAUGACGCAUUCACUCAAUUUUUUGAAUUUUAUAAUGAUUACCUUGAGUCUUCGAGACUCUUUUUGGAAGAAGAAUAAUUGUCAGAUAAACCAAUAUCCCCUUAAUGUAGAGUUUGCGCCGUACAAGUAGUAGACAUCUUAAUUUUUCGUGCUAUUCUUUGAUACCGGCAAAAAGCCAUAACCGCAAACUAAUUCAUAUUUCAUCGAACAUACCGACCGCCACAAAAAGCAGGGACCAGGUAGAAUUUUAUGACGCACGCGAUCAGAGCCAUUGAAAUAGAGUUGUCGAACAAAAAAGGAUCUCAACUCGAAUGUUAGGUAUUUCAUUGAGAGACAUAUACACAUACCACUGAAGUGAUUCACUACGCUUUAUAAAUUUAAUGUGCUUCCACAAAAUGAUUGUAAUCCUGAAGCUUUUAAAGGUUUUUUAUUUUUUGGUUAGAAAAAGAUCUUGUAACUAGCAUAGACAGCAUGUCCGUGUUUGAAAAGCAAAUAUCAGGCUAAAGGGUUGCAUAUAUAUACGCAUAUUAAAAAAUGUUAGCUUUUAAAUUAAAUCGACAAAAACGAAUGAAAAAUUCGAUAAA